RNAcentral lists this ribosomal RNA (497 nucleotides) under uncultured bacterium. RNAcentral describes it as "partial 16S ribosomal RNA". It matches the Rfam family "Bacterial small subunit ribosomal RNA", at positions 28 to 507 of the family's 1533-position model. The record is from RNAcentral.
GAUGAACGCUGGCGGCGUGCCUAAUACAUGCAAGUCGAGCGAACAGAUGAGGAGCUUGCUCCUUUGACGUUAGCGGCGGACGGGUGAGUAACACGUGGGUAACCUACCUAUAAGACUGGAAUAACUCCGGGAAACCGGGGCUAAUGCCGGAUAACAUUUAGAACCGCAUGGUUCUAAAGUGAAAGAUGGAUUUGCUAUCACUUAUAGAUGGACCCGCGCCGUAUUAGCUAGUUGGUAAGGUAACGGCUUACCACGGCAACGAUACGUAGCCGACCUGAGAGGGUGAUCGGCCACACUGGAACUGGGACACGGUCCAGACUCCUACGGGAGGCAGCAGUAGGGAAUCUUCCGCAAGGGGCGAAAGCCUGACGGAGCAACGCCGCGUGAGUGAUGAAGGUCUUCGGAUCGUAAAACUCUGUUAUUAGGGAAGAACAAAUGUGUAAGUAACUGUGCACGUCUUGACGGUACCUAAUCAGAAAGCCACGGCUAACUACGUG